This 460-nucleotide ribosomal RNA is filed under the name uncultured bacterium. RNAcentral's name for it is "partial 16S ribosomal RNA". It matches the Rfam family "Bacterial small subunit ribosomal RNA", at positions 338 to 795 of the family's 1533-position model. The record is from RNAcentral.
CCUACGGGAGGCAGCAGUGAGGAAUAUUGGUCAAUGGGCGCGAGCCUGAACCAGCCAUGCCGCGUGCAGGAAGACGGCCCUAUGAGUUGUAAACUGCUUUUGUAAAAGGGUAAACCUGAAUACGUGUAUUCAGCUGAAAGUACUGUACGAAUAAGGAUCGGCUAACUCCGUGCCAGCAGCCGCGGUAAUACGGAGGAUCCAAGCGUUAUCCGGAUUUAUUGGGUUUAAAGGGUGCGUAGGCGGGUUGAUAAGUUAGAGGUGAAAUGUCCGGGCUUAACUGGGGAAUUGCCUCUAAUACUGUUGAUCGAGAGAGCAGAUGCGGUAGGCGGAAUGUAUGGUGUAGCGGUGAAAUGCUUAGAGAUCAUGAAGAACACCGAUUGCGAAGGCAGCUUACCAACCUAUAACUGACGUUGAGGCACGAAAGCGUGGGGAGCAAACAGGAUUAGAUACCCGUGUAGUC